UGUUUGAUGACGGAGAAACCCCAAUGUGGGUAAAACUCCGGGCCCAAGCCAGUAGGAAUCCACUAUAAACGUAAAUGAAACUUACAAUCAGCCAGACUCAACCUACACUGGUUUUUCUAACAUCCUGACCAUAGUUUCCUCAAGCCCUUCUUGGAAUGUGUGAUCUUGCACCAACUCCAGGCACCUAGCCAUCUUGGAUUGCGUGCUAUACCAAUUCCCAAGUCUUGAUUUUGUUUAUCUCCUGUGGAUUCAAGAAAAUCGCCUGUUUUCUAAUGAUCGGGACUCCGAUCCUUUCUCGAUCUCCAAGAAUCAACAAAGGUACUAGAAGAUUGUGUUGUGGUGUUUGAUGAAUGUUGAUUUGAUCUUUUUCAUGUAAUUGAUCAAAUCAAAUAUAGGGUUGAAUGAGAAAGUUAAAGUGUAGGAGAGUUGUCCUCAAUUUCAAUACCUUCAAAGCACUAUCUGAAUUCGACGCGGUUUUUUUUCAUGUAUAUCUCUUUUUGGUAUUUCUGGUCGGGUUAAAAUGUCGAAAAAAGGAAAAUAGGGUUUUAUGGGUAACACUGUCGCUCGAGCGACAAGCGAGCGACACUGUUUUGCUUGAGCGAAGUGGGGGCGAAAAGCGAGCGACGACCAUUCUGUUUUUGUCGCUCGAGCAACCACUUGGCGAGCAGCUAGUGAAACUUCGACGACACAUCUUGCCCUACUUCAUAGAUCGAAUCCUAACCCUCAUCUUUUACACAUGUACACAAUGACCCCUAAACUUUAAUAAUUGAUAAAUUGACCCCAAAGUUUUGAGCAUUUACACUUUUACCCUUUUGUUCAUGGAAUAGCCAACACAAAAUCUAACAAAUUCCCCCUUUGGCAUUCUGUGACAAAAUCAAGUUACAGCAGCAAUAACAAUCCAAUACAUAGACUCAACUCACUGUUGCCUUGUCAUCUUUCAACCUAUCUCCUGAAAUCACAACUCACAUACCCAGUGUAAAAGCACGAGAAACAGUAACAUAAGUACAUAAAAGGUAAAGAGUCAUGAAUAGCCAUAACAAUGUACGAAUAUGCUAGAUUAAGAGAUAAUAUUAAUAUCAAUGUAAGUCAAACAACCAAAAACAUACAUCAAUAGUGCAAAGCAUCAAUACAUAAUCCAGCCAUAUCAUUAUAAUACAUUAUCAUUAUAAAUCCCAAAAACACUCCCCCCCUUUUUGUCAGAAAUGGCAAGGGGAACUCCAAUCAACUAAGAAGGACCAUCAUCUCCGCCAUCCACAUCCUCAGAAUCCUCAGCAUCAGAUUCAUAAUCCCAGUGCUCACGCAUCCACCGAAUACUGCGCUGAACAAGAGUAAUGUCAGCCAUCAUGCAGGCCUGCUGCUCAAUGAGAAUCGACAUCUGACUCAUAAGUGCGACAGUGGGGUCAACAGGAACAGUAGCUGGAGCAGGCUAGUUGGGUGGCAGAAUAGAAGUGGAAGAAGAGGGAAUAUCUGAAGUGGACGAAGGAACCUCGGAAGGAGGCAGAGGAAUAGCUGAGAGAUCAGCAAGUAAAUCACCUAAAGGAUCAGCAGGCACUGUCGGGUCAACAGGCUCAGUUGGCUCAGCAGGAGCAAAGGCAAAGGCAGAAGAGGUGACAUGUGAUCUACUUUGAGAUAUGGUAGUGUGCCCUAUGGGACGAAGCACUCGUCGUGAGACCCCAUCGGGAAAGAAAGCCCCAAGUGAUGUCACCAAGCGGUGGAUUAAGCAAGCAUACGGUAGGGAAAAAGCAAAAAGAAACCUCACCUUGUCCAUAGGUAGGGAAAAAGUGUGGGAGAUGGGCCACAAAUUUGUACACACAAUACGCAACAAAAUUUGCCUAUCGGUGGAGAGCGAACCAGUGCGGAUCGCCUCAGGCCCCCCCAAGGGCUAUUAAACAAGGUGGACCGAACCAGAGAAUCGGCCGAAAUAGAAUCAGCCAAGAGAUAGGCAUAAACGGGGUGAAUGACCUAGGGAACAUGUAUGGAACUGGAAAUAACAUCAGGGGAAAUCCUAAGGAUUUGACACCGGAGGAACACCCAGAAGGACGAACCACUAAUGUCAUGAAUGUUUGCAUAGAACUCCUGAACAAGAAGACUAGGCGGGGGAUUUAACCCAAUCAACAAGGAUUCCCAACCCCGAGAAGUAAAGAUAGCUGCCACAUCAGGUGAUAGAUCGGAUAGAGUAACCUCACGCUCGACUAGGAUGGGACGACGAGAAAACUGGCUCCCAAAGACUUCUUGAGCAGUGGAGGAAAUGAACCGAGAAUGACUAAACGAACACGAUCCACUGCCAGGCUGAGCUGUGGUCCUAACCCACUUGGGUGCCAUCUGUAGUGCGAGAUGUAGAAGAUAAGUCAAUCCCCAAGGAAAACGAAGUGAAGGAGACACAUAACUAGACAAGCCCUAAAAGGCAAUCACACACAAGCCCGUGGACUAUGAGCAACACGGAUGGGACGUGAACUAGACAUAAACAAGAUCAAGAUGAAAUUGUGACACACAUAAAAACUUCCAAUAGAAAUGGAGAGUUGACGAGUCCUAUGUCAAACAAUUCUCCAAACGUAUUACAGGCAAAUCGACCAACCAGUGUCGAGUUGAGAGAAAAAAAACGAGAGAGAAAGGGAAGAAAUGAAAAAAAAAAAGAGGCGAAAGGGCGCGAGAAAAUAAAAGGUCUCGAUGUUGCUCGAGCGAGACUCGAGCGAACAGCGAGCGACAAAGACACUGCUUCUGUCGUUUGAGCGAGAUCCCAGCGACAAGCAAUCGACAGGGAAAUGACAAAAAUAGCACCUAAACUUGAAAAGUUGAAAAGUUAGGCCCAGGUUUAAAAUUUAGCAAAGUAACAACCUUUAGAAACUUUCAAAAAUAGGACCUUUUUCAGAAAUUUGAAUUUAGACCCCAAUUUUUUUUUUAAAUUUAAAAUGCACGAACAAUGCAGAGGCAAUUGGUCCAAUCAAAGGCAAUAGAUAACAAAUACGGCACGCACAGUGAUUAGAAAAUGGUUACCCACACACUGGAACCAAGUACAGAUGGAGUAAAUUGUAUAUGUGACCCCUCGUGAAACGUGCCACUCAUUCCAAGAAAGUAAGACUCAAACCUUAAAUUUGUGAGAAGAGACAACCAAAUCACUGACGUAGGAGUCAACACUUAGAUGUGUGAAGGUCAAAUCCAAUGCCACUAUGACCUAUACUUCAUUAAAAUAUGGUGUAAAACUGUUCUUUCUUCCCCUGUUGUUAAGGACCUAAAAAAAAAUUUUAAAUUUUACGUGCAAUCCCAUCUCCAUUAAGCUACUAAGAAGACCCCUGUAAUGAGCGUUGGGUUGGCGACUCCCAAACCAGUUGGCUUUAGGGCACCAGGUUAUGAGAAACCCCUUAGACUUAAUUGCUCGAGUCAUUUAGGCUCCGAAGAUAUGUAUAAGAUGUGAUAUAAUAAAUACUCUGUGGAAACCCACGGGGGUACACCAGAAGUUAGGUCAUUUAGUCCAAGAUCAAUUCAAACCCAAUGUCUACUCAACGACAGAUGAUAGCCAUCCCAAGUCUCACACAUGCGGUCAAAACUCACUCAUACGGUCCUAGUGUGUGUUGUGCAAAUAUAAUAUGAAGUGACAUAUACUAAGUACUCCAUACAGACUCAGGAUAAGUGACGGGAAUUACAAACUAAUCAUGUGUAGAAUGCACAUUUGAUUUCAAAUUGCAACUCCGAGGGAACAACUACAAAGCAAAAAUGACAUGUGAUGAUCAAUCUCCCUUUUUUCUAAAUGCAAAUGAACACACAGAGGUAACGUAAUGAAUGAAAAGAAAUGCAUGCAUCUAUGAAGACGAUCAGGGAGGAACAAAGAUGCCAAUAGCCUUCCUAAGUGACUCGAAUCUAAACCCAUCUAGAGGUUUAGUGAACAGAUCGGCAAGUUGAUUUUCAGUAGAGAUGGGUUCAAGAGAAAUCACAUUAGACUCAACUAGUUCACGAAUAAAGUGAUGAUGAAUGUCAAUGUGUUUGGUCCUAGAAUGCUGAACCGGAUUUUUUGAUAUGUUGAUAGCACUAGUAUUGUCACAGAAAACAGUUAGAGUACCCUGAUUUAUCCCAUAGUCACUCAGCAUUUGCUUCAUCCAAAGCAGUCAAGUGCAACAGCUACCAGCUGAAAUGCAUUCUGCCUCGGCUGUGGACAAGGAGACUGAGUUUUGUUUCUUACUCAUCCAGGAGACAAGAUUAGAACCAACAUAGAAACAUCCACCCGAGGUACUUUUUCUAUCGUCGGCGUUUCCAGCCCAAUCGACAUCAAAAUAGCCGGCUAGUUCUAGAUUGGACUCUUUGGAAUACAAGAUCCCAUGAUCUACUGUCCCAUUGACAUAUCUAAUAAUGCGCCUCACUGCACUUAGAUGGGACUACUUAGGAUCAGUUUGAAAUCUAGCACAUACACCAACACUAAACGCUAUGUCAAGUCUACUGACAGUAUGAUAUAGUAAACUGCCUAUCAUACUCCUAUACACAGUCUGAUCAACACUCUUACUUGUAGGAUCAUGUCCUAACUUAACAUUUGUGCUCAUGGGUGUCCUUGUGUGUUUCUUACUGUCCAAACUAAAUCUCUUCACAAGGUCUUUGGCAUAUUUUGAUUGAGAGAUAAACAACCCACAAUUAGUUUGCUUUACUUGAAGACCAAGGAAGUAACUUAGCUCCCCAACCAUACUCAUUUCAAAUUCUUGUUUCAUGCAUUCAGCAAAUUCAAGAGAAAUGGAAUCAAUGGGAGAGCCAAAGGUGAUGUCAUCGACAUAUAUCUAAGCUACAGUGAUAGUUUUUUCAAUAUGUCUAAUGAAUAAGGUUCUGUCAGCACCACCACGUGAGAACCCAUGCUCAAUGAGGUAAGUAGUGAGUCUAUCAUACCAAGCUCUAGGAGCUUGUUUUGGACCAUACAGUGCUUUAUUUAGUUUGUAGACAUAAUGAGGAAACUUAGGGUCAAUAAAUCCUUUCAACUGUUUAACGUACGCCUCUUCUUGGAGUAUUCCAUUCAAGAAUGCACUUAUGACAUCCAUUUGAUAUAGCUUGAACCCUAAGGUACAUGCAACAGCAAGAAGAAUACGAAUGGACUCAAGAUGAGCAACUGGGGCAAAAGUCUCAUCAAAAUCUACCCCUUCCACCUGAGUGUACCCCUGGGCGACUGUCUAGCCUUAUUCCUAGUUAUAGUACCUUGGUCAUCGGUUUUCUUCUUGAAAAUCCACUUUGUACCUAUCACAUUAGAAUCAUUAGGCCUAGGAACUAGAUUCCAAACAUUAUUUCGAACGAAUUGAUUAAGCUCCUCAUGCAUGUCAUUCACCCAGCAUUCAUCUCUAAGGGCUUCCUCUACUUUUUCAGGUUCAAUCUAGGAUACAUAGCUAGUAUAUGUUAGGUUAUUUAGAACUCUCCUUCGUAACCUCACUCCUUCAUCCAAAGCCCUAAUGAUGUUAACCUUAGGAUGAUUAGAUUUGACCCUUGAAGAUGGUUCUCUAGAAAGCUUAGACUGAUCCCAAUUUGGUAGACCUUGCUCAGAUAUGUUUUCUGAGGAUUGUGGAGAUUUUAGGAUUGAGUGUUCUUUAUUUUCAGUAGUGGCUCCUUGAUCUUCACUUAGAUCUUCUAUGUCAACCCCAUUUUCAGCACUUUCUCCCUCAGUGAAGGCAUCAUCAAUAACAACAUUUACAGAUUCCAAGACAUUUUGAGUACGCAAGUUGCAAACUCGGUAUGCUCUAUUGUUCUUAGAAUAUCCUAGAAAAAUCCCAUCAUCACUUUUGGAAUCAAACUUGCCUAGAUGUUCUCUAUCCCUCAGGAUGUAACAUUUGCUGCCAAACACCCGAAAGUAUUUAACAGUAGGCUUCUUGCCUUUCCAAAUCUCAUAGGGAGUCUUUUCUGAUUUCGGUCUCAAGUAUACCUUAUUUAUUAUCUGGCACAAGGUGUUAAUUGCUUCACCCCAGAAAUACAUUGCUAGAUCCUUACCGUGAAGCAUGGCCCUAGCCAUUUCUUGAAGCACUCUAUUCUUCUUCUCAACAACUCCAUUUUGCUGUGGCGUGAUUGGUUAGGAGAACUCAUGCUUAAUCCCCUCCUCCAAGUAGAAGUUUUCUAGAUUGAAGUUUUCAAAUUCUUUUCCAUGAUCACUUCAAACCCUAGAAAUAGGAAGAUUUUGUUCAACUUUGAGUCUUUUGCAUAAGGACUUAACCAGAUCAGCCGUCUCAGAUUUUUCUCUUAACAGAUCAAUCCAGGUGAAUCUAGAAAAAUCAUCUACCACAACCAGGAUAUACUGUUUGCCUCCUAGGCUCUCUACCCUAGAUGGUUCCAUUAAAUCCAUAUGGAAAAGCUCUAGGGGUCUAUUCGUCAAGAUUUUCGAGGUUCACUUAUGGUUUAUCCUGAAUUGCUUUCCUUGUUGACACGGCUUGCACACAGCAUUCUCACUUUGAUCAAUCUUAGGUAAACCAUCGACAAUCUUCUUUCGGACCAAUUUAGAUAGAUUUCUGUAGUUAACAUGAUCGAGUCUUUGAUGCCAAAGUUCAAACAUAUCAAUUUUAGCACUACUGCAUACAUAGUUCGAGUUUGGAAGAACUUCAUAACAAUUAUCAGAUGCUCUAAUACCUUCAAGAACAACACCACCAGAAGCAUCAUAAAUAGUGCAUCUCUUUUGGAUAAAACUCACUUCAUAGUCAGCAUCACAGAUUUGACUAAUGCUCAAUAAGUUGAACUUAAGGCCCUUUACAUAAAGUACAUUGGAUAUUGUAUGAAGUCCAGCAAUGGUGAUGGAGCCUUUACCUCGGAUGGGUGCCAUAGCUCCAUCCCCAAAAGUAACUACACCGCCGUUACAGUCGUCAAAGGUAGAGAAUAAGGCCUUAUUACCACAUAUGUGUCUAGAACAAGCACUAUCAAGAUACCACAUGCAUGUAUUUUGUGCCUUAUAUGCAACAUGAGCAACAAAACAUUUUAGAUUCUCAAUAUACUCACCCACAUCAGAUUUCUUUACCCAAAUUUUUCUCGAGGUCGAGAUGAUCCUACUCAACCUUGUUACCAUCUCAGUUAAGUGGCUAACCUGAUUUGAAAGUAAGUUCACUUGACUAGGGAUAUCCUGAUUUCGAUUCCUAUUUGCUAGCUUUCGACACCUAGGUCUCGUGUGGCCUAAGGCACCACAGUGAUGACAAGUGGGUAUGAAUCUAGGUUCAAAUGUACGUGAGUGUUGAUUAUGAAAAUUAGGUGUAGAGAUCUUAUGAGCUCUAGUGGCCUUUAGUCCAUUAAAAUUUUUGACUUUGGAUUCUGGAUUUGUUGAAACGUUAGAUCUGUUGGAAGCAUGGACAAAUGUGGUCUUUGAUAAACUAGACAUAUUACUAUCACUCUUUACAAAUCCUAGACCUUGCCUAUUUCCAGCUGGUUUUUUCAUUCCUAACAAAUCGUCUAGUUUCUUAAUUCCAUUCACAAAUGAUUGCAGUUGAGUGUUGGAUCUCUCUAAUUCAUAGGUCAAUGUCUUGACCCUGCCCUCUAAUCUCUCAUUGACAUACUUCAACUCACUUAGAUUCUUAGAUGAGAUUUGAAGGUCAUAGGUGAUUUUCUCCUUCUCUCUCUCAAGCUUGUCUACCUUCUUAAAAAGGGCUUUAUUUACCUUUUUGAUCUUGAGACUCUCCUUAAACAGGAGUUGAUAAGUCUCAUGUAUAUCCGUCUCAUCCUCCGAAUCAUCACCGAACUUGUUACUCUCCACUUCCUCCUCAACCUUCUCACUCUCCUUGUCUAACUCGCUCUUGACAGUAGAUACAAAAGCCAUAUAGCCCUUUUCCUCCUCACUGCUUGAGGAAUCACUUUGUUCACUUAAAUUAGAAUCAUCAUCAGUCAAGGACACAGUUAAUGCCUUCCUAUUCCCUUUCUUUAGAUUUUUCUUAAAGUUAGGACAUUCAUUUCUAUAGUGCCCAAAUUCCUGACACUCAUGACACCUAACCCCUUGAGAUUUUUGUAAUACUUUAAACAAAAAAAGAAAAGAAAAGUCAAACUUCAAAAAAAAAAUUACAAAAGAUAAAAACCAAAAUGAAAGGCGGCUAUCAAACCAACCCAUUUCCAAUGUGUGUGUGUGUGUGUGUACGUAUAUAUAUACAUAUAUAUAAUCCAAACCUUUAACAUACGCUUUAGACACACCAAAACAAAAAAGGGACCAGAGAAGAAAAAGAGAAAGGAAAAAGAGGGGAAAAAAAGAAAAAGAGGAAGAAAAAGAAAAAAAAAGGGAAAAAUUCGCCAACGUGUUAGGAAUUAAGUGCUCUAUCCUAUUAGGCUUGAAUUCCUCAAUUUUGAAAGAUAAGUAAAAAGUUACUUAUUGAAAGGUUAUAUUUGAUUUUAUAGUUGUUAGAUUGUUAGAUUAAAUUUAAUUUUAUUGAAGGGAUUAAGUAUAAUAAACUAUGAAAUUGAGUAAAGUGAAAGAAAAAUUAAUUUUAGUAGUUAAAGAGACUCUAGAAAUCGCCUAAACGUGAAAUAAUUAUGUUUAGGUAUCGCCUAUUUAAUUAUUGAAAUUACUUAAAUUAGUUAAUUGUUGAUUUAAAAAUUAUAUUAUAUUCACACGAUGAUACGGAUAUUGGGACAGCGUACCAAUCGAAUUGAUUUUGACGUACAUAGUUCUGUGAGCGAAAAAAUAUAAAUAUUUUUAAAGUAUUUAUAAAUUAAGUAUAUUGUUAAAGUAUGUGCAAUUAUAUACAAUUAUGUGUUCGAACUAAAUGGUUAUUAUGGAAAUCUCUCUUAUUAUGAUACAUGUGGAAUAUCAAAUAUUAUUUAUGACAUAUUUGUGACUUGGUAUAUAAGACAUGUGAUAUUGAGUUUUGUUUGGUAUGUGAGACCUACAAUAUUGAAAUCGGUCAGAAAAGUACCUAUGAUUAUAUACUUCUUCUAGUUCACAGAGGGGCCUUGGCCGUGUUCUAUCCUACACGGAGGGUCUUGACCUGACAUUGGUCUUGAUCGUGUACAUAUAAUUCAUAGAGGGGCCUUGACCGUGUUCUAGAAUUGAUUAUGAGAGGUAUUCGAGACCGGCUUUCGUUCACGGAGGGGGCCAAAGGCCUGUGGCGAAAAUUCUUAGCCCGAGAGGUGGAUUACAUAUUUCAAUCAGAUGGUAAAUUUUUGGUAAAUUUUUCAGCACAUUUGAUGUGAUGAGAUUAUAGCAUGAUUUUCAGCUAAUGUUAUAUCAUAAUUUUAAGAUGAAAUUGUAUGACCUUUUGUGAAUAUUUCAUUUUUUUUACUAUAAUUACAUGAUGGUAGCCUGUGAAUUAUCAAAUGAUAUGAAUUUGAUUUUCAAUGAAAAUUUAUAAAUGAAAAAGUAUAUUUAUUUUGAACUUCUCCACUCACUGAGCUAUCAACUCAUAUAUUUUUCCACAUUUUUCUUUAUCAGGCAGCAGUUGAGAAUUUGGGCAUCUUUGGAGUUGAGACUUGAUUUUGGAGUUAGAGCCACACGACAGAGUUUGUUAGUAUGACUCACUUCAUAGAACAUGUAAUCAGUAUUUUGGGACGCACGUUCAUGUCUAGAUGUGAUUUUACAUCACUUGUAGAUAGUUAUGGGGCUCAUUAUGUAAUAUGUAUCCAUAUGUAUAUUUCAUUGUAUUUCUUGGGUAAAAGUGAAGAUUUCGACUUAUCUUUAUUGUGCUAUGCUAUAGUUUGGGAUUUGUGUGAAAUUGAUCACAGGUUGGUUAGUCUUGUUUACAGGGGAGAUAAUGCCGAAAUUUUGUUAGAAAAAUGAUGUAUAAAAGGUGAUAUAUUGUAUUUGUAGUAGCCUUGAUGGUGAGUCCGACUUUUAGUUGGUAUCUAUCAUCGGCGCAUGCCACGUCCGGAUCUAGUGGUGUUACACGGGGCGGGGUGUGUCAAUUUGGUAUCAGAGCAUGCAUUAGAGUUCAUGGGUUUGCAUUGUACAUGCAUACAUUCUCAUAUUUAGCAUAUCAUGCGUAACUAUAGGUGAGUCAUGCCUCGUGGUGGCAAAACUCGAAAGCUCCAAGAUAUGUUGCCUCAGUCUCACAUUGCUCUUGUUACCGACGAACUAAGAGAGCCCGAGAGAGUAGAUGAAUCAGUUCACCAGCCUCCUGAACAACAGGGACAGGGAAAUGUGAUUGGAACUGAUCCUAUUGCUGUUGAAAGAACUGCUAUUGUCGUUGCAUCUUCUAAGCGUAAUACUGAUAGAGAUUUUAGUAUUGAAAGGGCUACAAAGUUAGGGGCUAAAGUGUUCACUGGCACAGUCGAUCCUACAGUUGCACAGGCAUGGAUGACAAAGAUAGAGAAGGUAUUUGACAUUAUGGGUUGCUCAGACGAUCGGAAGUUGUGUCUUGCCACCUUCUUAUUAGAGGAGGGUGCGUAUGAUUGGUAGCAGUCAGUACGGAGCACAUAUCUAGACCCUUCCAUCAUUACUUGGACAGAUUUUCAUCGUAUCUUUUACGAAGCCUAUUACCUUCUGUCCUAUAAAGAUGCAAAGCAGGAGGAAUUUUUGAAAUUAGUACAAGGCCAGAUGACUAUUGCAGAAUCUCAGGUGAAAUUUAUUGAACUUUCAAAAUAUGCCCAAGUUCUGGUAAGCAACGAAAUUAAUAAAUGCAGACGGUUUGAAAAUGGGUCAAGAGAAGAAAUCAAGUCAGUAAUAACAGCUACAGGCUGGAAUGAAUUUGGCAAAUUGGUGGAAUCAGCUUUGAGAGUAGAAAAGAGCAUUUUUGAUAGGCCAAGUGGUAGAGAACAAACAAUGUUCAGAGCAAGCGGUAGUCAGACAGUGGCAAGUGCUUCUAGCUAUAGACCACCACGGAGGGACAGUAGAGGAUUUCGACCUGGUGUGUCCAGUUUAGGUCAAUUCAAAUCUCGACUCCGAGGAAGUCAGGGUCCUAGAUUUAGUCCCAAUACUGUACAACAGCCAUUGGCCAGUCGUAAUUAUACUCAGGGUUCUUUCCAAAGAUCAUUUAUUUCGAGACAAGGAGAGAGUUCUACUAGUGCCAGAUUUUCUUCUUGCCAAUUAUGUGGAAGAUCUCAUCCUGGAGAAUGUUUAAAGUUCAAGGGAGUUAGUGUUUACUAUCGCUGUGGCCAAGAAGGACAUCUGAAAAGGAAUUGCCAAGUUGUAUUCCAGGAGGGUGGCAUGGCACAGAGGAUGUUUCCUCAGCAAAGUGCUGGUAGUACAAGACAGAAUCAGACUCAGAGAGAUGAUUCAGCUAACAAAGCAAGUACUAAUAGUGUGCCCCAGUCUAAUAUCGCAAGCGGUAGUGGUACAAAAUCAAAAGGGCAAGCAGGACGACCGAAGACCCAGGGCAAGGUUUUUGCUAUGACUCAACAGGCGGCAGAGGAGUCACCAGAUGUUAUCAUGGGUAUGUUGUCUAUUUUUGAUAGAAAUGCUUGUAUUUUGAUUGAUCCUGGAUCUACACAUUCUUUUAUGUCAUUUGCAUUUGCUUUAUAUGUGAAUCAAAAGCCAGAACUUUUAGGCAGUUGUUUGGUUGUGAAUACAUCAGUAGGAGAAUCACUAUUAGCAAAUAAUAUAUAUCAAGAUUGUGGAAUUAAGGUAAAGCAAAAUGAGCUGAAGGCAAAUUUAAUACCUCUUGACAUACAUGAUUUCGAUGUUAUCUUGGGUAUGGACUUUUUGGCAACAAAUCGAGCUUCAGUUGAUUGUUUUCGAAAGGAGGUUGUGUUUAGACAGCCUAAAGUUAUAUUCAAUGGACAGUGGAGAAUUUUACCAUCUUGUGUGAUAUCUGCUAUUGACGUUAGAAGAUUACUCAACAAGGGUUGCCAUGCAUAUUUGGCUCAUGUAAUUGAUACAGAUGUUAGCAAACUAAAACUUGAAGAUAUCCCAGUGGUCAAGGACUUUCUUGAUGUAUUUCCAGAAGAAUUACCAGGCUUACCAUCAGACAGAGAUAUGGAGUUCACUAUAGAUCUAAUUCCAGGAACUGUACUUAUUUCACGAGCAUCUUAUAGAAUGGCACCAGUAGAAUUGAAAGAGCUAAAGGUUCGGUUGCAAGAGUUGGUAGACAAGGGUUUCAUCAGACCUAGUAUAUCUCCGUGGGGAGCACCAGUUUUGUUUGUGAAAAAGAAAGAUAGCACCAUGCGACUGUGCAUAGAUUACAGACAAUUGAAUAAAGUGGUAAUUCGUAAUAAAUAUCCUUUGCCAUGUAUUGAUGACCCGUUUAAUCAGCUUUGAGGUGCUGCAGUAUUUUCAAAGAUUGAUUUGCGUUCUGGAUAUCAUCAACUUUAAAUCAGGGACAGUGAUGUGCCAAAAACUGAUUUCAGGACAAGGUAUGGUCAUUUUGAAUUUCUUGUGAUGCCAUUUGGUUUGACCAACGCACCAGUAGCAUUUAUGGAUAUGAUAAAAAGAGUGUUUCGCCCAUAUUUAGAUAGAUUUAUAAUUGUAUUCAUUGAUGAUAUUUUAGUAUACUCUCGAGAUCAUGAUGCUCUCAGAAUCAUCUUGCACACUAUACGUGAUGAGCAGUUGUAUGCUAAAUUCAGUAAAUGUGAAUUUUGGCUUGAUAAAGUUAUAUUUUUAGGACAUGUCAUAUCAGCAGAGAGAAUUUAUGUUGACCCACAGAAAACAGAGGCAGUGGUAAAAUGGGAAAGGCCUACUAAUGUGAUAGAAAUUCGAAGUUUUCUUGGCUUGGCAUGUUAUUAUCGUUGUUUUGUAGAGGGAUUUUCUAAAAUUGCUCUACCUUUGACCAGUUUGACUAGAAAGAAUGCUAAAAUUUGUUUGGAAUGAAAAUUGCUAAAAAAGUUUCCUCGAAUUGAAGAAUAGAUUAGUGUCAGCUCCAGUUCUUACCCUUCCAUCUCCCGGUGAAGAGUUUUGUGAUAUAUAGUGAUGUUUCACGUCAAGGUCUUGGUUGUGUUUUGAUGUAGAAUGGGAAAUUCAUAGCGUAUGCUUCCAGGCAGUUGAAGAAACAUGAACUGAGUUAUCCUACGCAUCACUUAGAGCUAGCUGCAGUUGUCCUGGCCUAGAAAAUUUAGAGACGUUACUUAUAUGGCGAGAGAUGCCAAAUGUAUACAGAUCAUAAAAGCUUAAAGUAUAUCUUCGAUCAAAAAGAGUUAAACUUGAGGCAAAGAAGAUAGUUAGAGCUGAUAAAAGAUUACGACUGCAAGAUUGAUUAUCAUCCAGGGAAGGCUAAUGUAGUAGCUAAUGCUCUCAGUCGGAAAAUAUCGAGUCCUAUGACCCAGACUAAUGCAAUAUAUUCAUCUUUGUUCAAUGAGUUCAGAGGUUCCCGUGCUCAAUUAUCAUUUACUAGUGUAGGAGCAUUGUUUGCUAACUUCCAAGUGAGGACUACUUUUAUUGACACAGUUAAAGAAACUCAAACUCAAGAUCCAGUGUUGAGCAAAUUGAAAGAAGAAGUUAGUAAAGGUAAGCAUACAGAUUAUACCAUUCGAAAUGACAAAGCUUUAGUUAUGGGAAACAGAUUAUGUGUUCCAGAUGAUUCGAAAUUGAAGGGAGAAAUUCUAGAAGAGGCACAUAGUUCAACUUACGCAAUGCAUCCAGGUAGUACAAAAAUGUAUCGUGUACUCAAAGAACACUAUUGGUGGCAUGAAAUGAAGAGAGAAAUAGCUGAAUUUGUAUCCAGAUGUCUCAUUUGCCGGCAAGUGAAACUAGAUCGUCAGAAAAUAGCAGGAUUGUUACAAACGUUGCCUAUUCUUGAAUGGAAAUGGAAACACAUUACUAUGGAUUUUCUAUUUGAACUUCCAUGGACUUAGAGUGGACAUGAUGGCAUAUGGAUCAUUGUAGAUAGAUUGACGAAGACUGCUAGAUUUUUGCCUAUUAAAGUCACUUACUCAUUAGAUAAAUUGGUAAAAAUAUAUGUUGAAGAGAUAAUCAGUUUAUAUGGGGCACCAGUAUCUAUUGUUUCAGAUAGAAAUUCUUGUUUCACUUCUAAAUUUUGGCCCAGUUUGUAGAAAGCUAUGGGUACUAAACUUCAUUUCAGUACAGCUUUUCAUCCACAAACAGAUGGUCAGUCAAAAAAAACUAUUCAGACUCUGGAAGACAUGUUACGAGCUUGUGUACUACAGUUCAAAGGGAAUUGGGAUACUCAUCUUUCUUUGAUGGAGUUUGCCUAUAAUAACAGUUAUCAUUUGAGUAUAGAAAUGGCUCCUUUUAAAGCACUGUAUGGUAGGAAAUGCAGAACUCCAGUAUGUUGGGAUGAAGUUGGUGAAAGAAAGCUAUUGGGUCAUGAAUAUGUCCAGAUUACUUCUGAGAAAGUAAAGAUAAUUAAAGAAAAGUUAAAAACAGCCAAGGUAGAUAGAAGAACUAUGCAGAUAGACGAAGAAGAAACUUUGAACUUGAUGUUGGAAAUAGAGUUUUCCUGCGAUUAUCUCCAUCGAAAGGUGUUAUCAGAUUUGGUAAACGAGGUAAAUUGAGUCCGAGGUAUAUUGGCCCAUAUGAGAUUGUUGAACGCAUCGGUCCAGUUGCGUAACGAUUGGCUUUGCCAACAGAAUUGUCCAGAAUUCAUGAUGUAUUCCAUGUUUCUAUGCUUCAUAAGUAUAUUCCAGAUCCAUUUCAUGUUUUGGAAUCACAACCUGUAGAGCUGAAGGAAAAUCUUACCUAUGAAGAAGAACCAGUUCAGAUAUUGGAUAGGAAAGAACAGGUUUUGCGUAGUAAGACUAUUCCUUUGGUUAAAGUCUUGUGAAUAAAUCAUGUUGUAGAAGAAGCGACAUGGGAAAGUGAAGAGCAGAUGCGUUCUCAGUAUCCACGACUUUUUCAUACUUGAUAAAUCGAAUUUCGAGGACGAAAUUCUUUUAAGAGGGUGAGUUUUGUAAUACAUUAAACAAAAAAAAAAUUCAAACUUCAACAAAAAAAAAAGAAAUUACAAAUGAUAAAAACCAAAAUGGAAGGCGGCUAUCAAACCAACCCAUUUCCAAUGUGUGUGUGUGUAUGUGUGUGUGUGCAUGUGUGUAAUUCAAAACUUUAACAUACACUUUACACACACCAAAACAAAAAACAGACCAAAGAAGAAAAAGAGAGAAAAAGAGAAAGGAAAAGAGGGGAAAAAAAAGAAAAAGAAGAAAAAAAGGAAAAAUUCGCCAACGUGUUAAGAAUUAAGUGUUCUAUCCUAUUAGGCUUGAAUUCCUCAAUUUUGAAAUGUAAGUAAAAAGUUACUUAUUGAAAGGUUAUGUUUGUUUUAUAGUUGUUAGAUUGUUAGAUUAAAUUUAAUUUUAUUGAAGGGGUUAAGUAUAAUAAACUAUGAAAUUAAGUAAAGUGAAAGAAAAAUUAAUUUUAGUUGUUAAAGAGACUCUAGAAAUCGCCUAAACGUGAAAUAAUUAUGUUUAGGUAUCGCCUAUUUAAUUAUUGAAAUUACUUAAAUUAGUUAAUUGUUGAUUUAAAAAUUAUAUUAUAUUUCAGGCGGCGAUACGGAUAUCGAGAUAGCGUACCAAUCGAAUUGAUUUUGGCGUACAUAGGUCUGUGAGUGGAAAAAUAUAAAUAUUUUUAAAGUAUUUAUAAAUUAAGUAUAUUGUUAAAGUAUGUGCAAUUAUAUGCAAUUAUGUGUUCGAAUUACAUUGUUAUUAUGAAAAUUUCUCUUAUUAUGAUACAUGUGGAAUAUCAAAGAUUAUUUAUGGCAUAUUUGUGACUAGGUAUAUAAGACAUGUGAUAUUAAGUUUUGUUUGGUAUGUGAGACAUGCAAUAUUGAGAUCGGCCAGAAAAGUACCCAUGAUUAUAUACUUCUUUUAGUUCACAGAGGGGUCUUGACUGUGUUCUAUCAUACACGGAGGGUCUUGACUUGACAUUGGUCUUGAUCGUGUACAUAUAGUUCACAAAGGGGCUUUGGCAGUAUUCUAGAAUUGAUUAUGAGAGGUCUUCGAGACCAGCUUUUGUUCACGGAGGAGGUCAAAAGCCCAUGACGAAAGUUUUUAGCCCGAAAGGCUAAUUACAUAUUUCAGUUAGAGGGUACAUUUUUUGUGAAUUUUUCAGCACGUUUGAUGUGAUGAGAUUAUAGCAUAAUUUUCAGCUGAUAUUAUAUCAUGAUUUUAAAAUGAUAUUGUAUGACCUUUUGUGAAUAUUUCACUUUUUUACUAUAAUUACAUGAUGGUAGCCUGUGAAUUAUCAAAUGAUAUGAAUUUGAUUUUCAAUGAAAAUGUAUAAAUGAAAAAAUAUAUUUAUUUUGAACUUCUCCACUCACUGGGCUAUCAACUCAUAUAUUUUUCCACGUUUUUCUUUAUCAGACAGCAGUUGAGAAUUUGGGCAUCUUUUGGAGUUGAGACUUGAUUUUGGAGUCAGAGCCACACGACAAAGUUUGUUAGUAUGAUUCACUUCAUAGAACAUGUAGUCAGUGUUUUGGGACGCAUGCUCAUGUCUAGAUGUGAUUUUGCAUCACUUGUAGAUAGUUAUGGGGCUCACUAUGUAUUAUGUAUCCAUAUGUAUAUUUCAUUGUAUUUCUUGGUAAAAGUGGAGAUUUCUGCUUAUCUUUAUUGUGUUGUGCUAUAGUUUGGAAUUUAUGUGAAAUUGAUCACAGGUUGGUUAGUCCUGUUUACAGGGGAGAUAAUGCCGAAAUUUUGUUAGAAAAAUGAUGUAUAAAAAGUGAUAUAUUGUAUUUGUAGUAGUCUUGAUGGUGGAUUCGACUUUUAGUUGGUAUCUAUCAUCGGCGCAUGCCACGUCCGGAUCUAUUGGUGUUACAUGGGGCGGGGUCUGUCAAUUUCUUACCAGGGUUCCCAGCAGUUGUUUUAUCAUCUUUCUCUCUUGGCAAUUUGCUAGGGACUCCUCUCCUUUUCUCUUGAGGCCAUUUUUUGCCCUUUAAAACUUUUUAGAAUUUUUUCACAAAGUAGACAAUCUCCUCAUCUCUAAGAGUUUCCAUGUCAGAUGAUUCAGACUCCCCUUCCCUAACAGUGUUUAGGGCUAUGGACUUGUUCUUUCUUGGUUGUGAAAUGGUGAGUUCAUAGGUUUGAAGGGAUCCUAUGAGUUCUUCUAUCUUAAUUGCAUCCAGAUUCUUGUUUUCUUCAAUAGCCGUAACUUUAGGUCUAAAUCUCUCGGGCAAGGAUCUAAGAACUUUCCUCACAAUUUUGGGCGCGGGAAUCCUCUCACCUAGGUUGAAACUAGAGUUAACAAUGUAAUUCUAUUUGGCAUAGAACUCAUCAAAAGAUUCAUCAUCCUUCAUCCUGAUUUCUUCAAACCUUGAGGUUAGCAUUUGCAAUUUUGAAUUUUUUAUAGUUUUAGUUCCCUCAUGCGUAGUUUCUAGAAUGUCCCAUACCUCUUUAGCAAUUUCACACAUUGAUACUCUCCUAAAUUCUUCGGGAGACACGGACAUAAACAAGGCAUGAAGUCCUUUGCUAUUCCAAUUGCAAUCAGCUAAUUCUUCCUUAGUCCAAAGUGAAACAUCAGUUAGAUUGACAACACCUGACACGGUUGUAGAAGGGGGUUUCCAACCAUUUUGUACGCUCACCCAAACACAUUCAUCUAAGGACUUAAGAAAAGCACGCAUCCUAACCUUCUAGUAGGCAUAGUUGCUUCCGUCAAAAUACGGAGGCACAGACAGUGAUUGACUCAUCUAGAAAACAAUGGGUCAGGACUUGAGUUCUGGCUCUAAUAUCACUUGAAAUAACGUAGUUCGACCCAAUCAACACCUAGAGGGAGGUUGCAUAGGUGUUUAUGCGGAAUUUUCUUUUUCAAUCAAUUAAUUAAUUAUUGCAACACGUCACAAAAAUUAAUUUGUCUAGAUCAGUUCAUAUGCUUUACUAUCCUAUGUUUGAAUAGCAGUCAUAAAUUAAUUGUAGAAAUAUAAAUAACACAAUUGUUUGAUGAUGGAGAAACCCCAAUGUGGGUAAAACUCCGGGCCCAAGCCAGUAGGAAUCCACUAUAAACGUAAAUGAAACUUACAAUCAGCCAAACUCAACCUACACUGGUUUUUCUAACAUCCUAACCAUAGUUUCCUCAAGCCCUUCUUGGAAUGUGUGAUCUUGCACCAACUUCAGGCACCUAGCCAUCUUGGAUUGCGUGCUACACCAAUUCCCAAGUCUUGAUUUUGUUUAUCUCCUGUGGAUUCAAGAGAACUGCCUGUUUUCUAAUGAUCGGGACUCCGAUCUCCUUUCUCGAUCUCCAAGAAUCAACAAAGGCACUAGAAGAUUGUGUUGUGGUGUUUGAUGAAUGUUGAUUUGAUCUUUUUCAUGUAAUUGAUCAAAUCAAAUAUAGGAUUGAAUGAGAAAGUUAAAGUGUAGGAGAGUUGUCCUUAAUUUCAAUACCUUCAAAGCACUAUCUGAAUUCGGCGCAGUUUUUUUUCAUGUAUAUCUCAUUUUGGUAUUUCCGGUCAGGUUAAAAUGUCGAAAAAAAGGAAAAUAGG
RNAcentral lists this long non-coding RNA (18203 nucleotides) under Olea europaea subsp. europaea. Lineage: Eukaryota; Viridiplantae; Streptophyta; Magnoliopsida; Lamiales; Oleaceae. The record is from RNAcentral.